This 433-nucleotide ribosomal RNA is filed under the name uncultured bacterium. RNAcentral describes it as "partial 16S ribosomal RNA". It matches the Rfam family "Bacterial small subunit ribosomal RNA", at positions 29 to 507 of the family's 1533-position model. The record is from RNAcentral.
AACGAACGCUGGCGGCAUGCCUAACACAUGCAAGUCGAACGAGACCUUCGGGUCUAGUGGCGCACGGGUGCGUAACGCGUGGGAACCUGCCCUUAGGUUCGGCAUAACUCCCCGAAAGGGGUGCUAAUACCGGAUAAUGUCUUCGGACCAAAGAUUUAUCGCCUUUGGAUGGGCCCGCGUUGGAUUAGCUAGUUGGUAGGGUAAAAGCCUACCAAGGCGACGAUCCAUAGCUGGUCUGAGAGGAUGCUCAGCCACACUGGGACUGAGACACGGCCCAGACUCCUACGGGAGGCAGCAGUGGGGAAUAUUGGACAAUGGGCGAAAGCCUGAUCCAGCAAUGCCGCGUGAGUGAUGAAGGCCUUAGGGUUGUAAAGCUCUUUUACCCGGGAUGAUAAUGACAGUACCGGGAGAAUAAGCUCCGGCUAACUCCGUG